AGAGUUUGAUCCUGGCUCAGGACCAACGCUGGCGGCGUGCCUAACACAUGCAAGUCGAGCGGUUCGGCACUCAAGCUUGCUUGGGUUUCGGAGCGGCGGCGCACGGGUGAGUAACACGUGGGUAAUCUAUCCGGGAGACCGGGAUAACAGCUCGAAAGGGCUGCUAAUACCGGAUAAACCCGAGGGGUCGCAUGGUCUUUCGGGCAAAGGUUGGCAACUUCCGUUUCCGGGUGAGCCCGCGCCUCAUUAGCUAGUUGGUAGGGUAACGGCCUACCAAGGCGACGAUGAGUAGCUGGUCUGAGAGGAUGGUCAGCCACACUGGGACUGAGACACGGCCCAGACUCCUACGGGAGGCAGCAGUGGGGAAUCUUGCUCUUUGGGCGAAAGCCUGACGCAGCGACGCCGCGUGAGCGAUGAAGGCCUUCGGGUUGUAAAGCUCUGUCAGAGGGGAAGAUCGUGACGGUACCCUCAGAGGAAGCCCCGGCUAACUACGUGCCAGCAGCCGCGGUAAGACGUAGGGGGCGAGCGUUGUCCGGAAUUACUGGGCGUAAAGGGCGUGUAGGCGGCCUGGCAAGUCAGUGGUGAAAAACCUGGGCUCAACCGAGGUAUUGCCAUUGAAACUGCCUG
This 627-nucleotide ribosomal RNA is filed under the name uncultured bacterium. Its description in RNAcentral is "bacterial SSU rRNA". It matches the Rfam family "Bacterial small subunit ribosomal RNA", at positions 8 to 639 of the family's 1533-position model. The record is from RNAcentral.